RNAcentral lists this ribosomal RNA (511 nucleotides) under Lacconectus sp. BMNH 693509. Its description in RNAcentral is "partial 16S ribosomal RNA". The stretch from base 388 to 511 matches the Rfam family "Archaeal large subunit ribosomal RNA", at positions 2542 to 2666 of the family's 2987-position model. The record is from RNAcentral. Lineage: Eukaryota; Metazoa; Arthropoda; Insecta; Coleoptera; Dytiscidae.
GUCCUUUUGUUUAUUAUAUAAGGUUUGACCUGCCCACUGAUUUAUUAAAUGGCCGCAGUAAUUUGACUGUGCAAAGGUAGCAUAAUCAUUAGUUUUUUAAUUAAAAGCUUGUAUGAAUGGUUGGAUGAGGUAAAAUCUGUCUCUAUUUAAUUAAAAUUAGAAUUUAAUUUUUAAGUUAAAAAGCUUAAAUAAUUAUAAAAGACGAGAAGACCCUAUAGAUCUUUAUAUUAAAUUAAAUAAUUUUAUUUAAGAUUUGUAUAAUUUUUAUUUAUUUUAAUAUUUUAUUGGGGUAAUAAAAAGAUUAAAUUAAUUCUUUUUAUAUUUUUAUUAUUAAUUAAUAAUUUUUUGAUCCAUUUGUUUAUGAUUAAAAGAUUAAGUUACCUUAGGGAUAACAGCGUAAUUUUUUUAAAGAGUUCUUAUCGAUAAAAAAGUUUGCGACCUCGAUGUUGGAUUAAAAAUUAUCUUAGGUGUAGGUGUUUAAGAUUUUGGUCUGUUCGACCAUUAAAUUUUU